GGAGAGAUGUCCGAGUGGUCUAUGGUGCAAUCUUGGAAAGGUUGUGUGCGGCAACGUACCGGGGGUUCGAAUCCCCCUCUCUCCG
This 85-nucleotide transfer RNA is filed under the name Spirochaetaceae bacterium. RNAcentral's name for it is "tRNA-Ser". It matches the Rfam family "tRNA". From Rfam's summary of the family: Transfer RNA (tRNA) molecules are approximately 80 nucleotides in length. Their secondary structure includes four short double-helical elements and three loops (D, anti-codon, and T loops). RNAcentral also lists the same sequence under 1 other name. Lineage: Bacteria; Pseudomonadati; Spirochaetota; Spirochaetia; Spirochaetales; Spirochaetaceae. The record is from RNAcentral.